Molecule: ribosomal RNA, 468 nt
Filed under: uncultured bacterium
Lineage: Bacteria
Description: partial 16S ribosomal RNA
Rfam family: Bacterial small subunit ribosomal RNA
Source: RNAcentral
GACGAACGCUGGCGGCGUGCUUAACACAUGCAAGUCGAACGGAAAGGCCCUGCUUUUGUGGGGUGCUCGAGUGGCGAACGGGUGAGUAACACGUGAGUAACCUGCCCUUGACUUUGGGAUAACUUCAGGAAACUGGGGCUAAUACCGGAUAGGAGCUCCUGCUGCAUGGUGGGGGUUGGAAAGUUUCGGCGGUUGGGGAUGGACUCGCGGCUUAUCAGCUUGUUGGUGGGGUAGUGGCUUACCAAGGCUUUGACGGGUAGCCGGCCUGAGAGGGUGACCGGCCACAUGGGGACUGAGAUACGGCCCAGACUCCUACGGGAGGCAGCAGUGGGGAAUAUUGCACAAUGGGCGGAAGCCUGAUGCAGCAACGCCCCGUGCGGGAUGACGGCCUUCGGGUUGUAAACCGCUUUCGCCUGUGACGAAGCGUGAGUGACGGUAAUGGGUAAAGAAGCACCGGCUAACUACGUG